This 987-nucleotide ribosomal RNA is filed under the name Burkholderia sp. AMF1089. RNAcentral describes it as "bacterial SSU rRNA". It matches the Rfam family "Bacterial small subunit ribosomal RNA", at positions 54 to 1038 of the family's 1533-position model. The record is from RNAcentral. Lineage: Bacteria; Pseudomonadati; Pseudomonadota; Betaproteobacteria; Burkholderiales; Burkholderiaceae.
CAUGCAGUCGGACGGCAGCGCGGGGGCAACCCUGGCGGCGAGUGGCGAACGGGUGAGUAAUACAUCGGAACGUGUCCUGGAGUGGGGGAUAGCCCGGCGAAAGCCGGAUUAAUACCGCAUACGCUCGGGAGAGGAAAGCGGGGGAUCUUCGGACCUCGCGCUCAAGGGGCGGCCGAUGGCAGAUUAGCUAGUUGGUGGGGUAAAGGCCUACCAAGGCGACGAUCUGUAGCUGGAUCUGAGAGCUCGACCAGCCACACUGGGACUGAGACACGGUCCAGACUCAUACGGGAGGCAGCAGUGGGGAAUUUUGGACAAUGGGGGCAACCCUGAUCCAGAUCAAACUCUGUGUGAAGAAGGCCUUCGGGUUGUAAAGCACUUUUGUCCGGAAAGAAAACUUCGUCCCUAAUACGGGUGGAGGAUGACGGUACCGGAAGAAUAAGCACCGGCUAACUACGUGCCAGCAGCCGCGGUAAUACGUAGGGUGCGAGCGUUAAUCGGAAUUACUGGGCGUAAAGCGUGCGCAGGCGGUUCGCUAAGACCGAUGUGAAAUCCCCGGGCUUAACCUGGGAACUGCAUUGGUGACUGGCGGGCUAGAGUAUGGCAGAGGGGGGUAGAAUUCCACGUGUAGCAGUGAAAUGCGUAGAGAUGUGGAGGAAUACCGAUGGCGAAGGCAGCCCCCUGGGCCAAUACUGACGCUCAUGCACGAAAGCGUGGGGAGCAAACAGGAUUAGAUACCCUGGUAGUCCACGCCCUAAACGAUGUCAACUAGUUGUCGGGUCUUCAUUGACUUGGUAACGUAGCUAACGCGUGAAGUUGACCGCCUGGGGAGUACGGUCGCAAGAUUAAAACUCAAAGGAAUUGACGGGGACCCGCACAAGCGGUGGAUGAUGUGGAUUAAUUCGAUGCAACCCGAAAACCUUACCUACCCUUGACAUGUACGGAAUCCUGCUGAGAGGGCGGAGUGCCCGAAAGGGAGCGUAACAACAG